RNAcentral lists this ribosomal RNA (999 nucleotides) under marine metagenome. Its description in RNAcentral is "bacterial SSU rRNA". It matches the Rfam family "Bacterial small subunit ribosomal RNA", at positions 8 to 1011 of the family's 1533-position model. The record is from RNAcentral.
AGAGUUUGAUCCUGGCUCAGGACGAACGCUGGCGGUGCGCCUUAUGCAUGCAAGUCGAGCGAAGCUUUUCAGUAGUUUACUACAGAAAAUGACUGAGCGGCGAACGGGUGAGUAACGCGUGAGCAACCUACCUUAGUUACUGGGAUAGCCCGAGGAAACUCGGAUUAAUACCGGAUAUUCUUAUUUAAUCACAUGAUUUUUUAAGGAAAGGUCAGCCGAACUAAGAUGGGCUCGCGUUCUAUCAGCUAGUUGGUAGGGUAAUGGCCUACCAAGGCUACGACGGAUAGCUGGUCUGAGAGGACGAUCAGCCACACUGGGACUGAGACACGGCCCAGACUCCUACGGGAGGCUGCAGCAGGGAAUAUUGCGCAAUGAGCGAAAGCUUGACGCAGCGACACCGCGUGUGGGAUGACGGAUCUAGGUUUGUAAACCACUUUCAGGAGGGAAGAAAAUGACGGUACCUCCACAAGAAGCCCCGGCCAACUACGUGCCAGCAGCCGCGGUAAUACGUAGGGGGCGAGCGUUGUCCGGAUUUAUUGGGCGUAAAGAGCUCGUAGGCGGUUCAACAAGUCGGUCGUGAAAGUUCAGGGCUCAACCCUGAAAUGUCGAUCGAUACUGUUGUGACUAGGAUACGGUAGAGGUGAGUGGAAUUCCGAGUGUAGCGGUGAAAUGCGUAGAUAUUCGGAGGAACACCAAUUGCGAAGGCAGCUCACUGGGCCGCUAUCGACGCUGAGGAGCGAAAGCUAGGGGAGCAAACAGGAUUAGAUACCCUGGUAGUCCUAGCUGUAAACGAUGGAUACUAGACGUAGGAAUUGGAUUAACGAUUUCUGUGUCGUAGCUAACGCGUUAAGUAUCCCGCCUGGGGAGUACGGUCGCAAGACUAAAACUCAAAGGAAUUGACGGGACCCCGCACAAGCGGCGGAGCAUGCGGCUUAAUUCGAUGAUACCCGUAGAACCUUACCUGGACUUGACAUAUAGGGAAAAGUUAUAGAAAUAUAA